RNAcentral lists this ribosomal RNA (507 nucleotides) under uncultured bacterium. RNAcentral describes it as "partial 16S ribosomal RNA". It matches the Rfam family "Bacterial small subunit ribosomal RNA", at positions 30 to 523 of the family's 1533-position model. The record is from RNAcentral.
AUUGAACGCUGGCGGCAUGCCUUACACAUGCAAGUCGAACGGCAGCGGGGGAGAAGCUUGCUUUUCCUGCCGGCGAGUGGCGAACGGGUGAGUAAUACAUCGGAACGUGCCCUGUAGUGGGGGGUAACUAGUCGAAAGAUUAGCUAAUACCGCAUACGACCUGAGGGUGAAAGUGGGGGACCGCAAGGCCUCAUGCUAUAGGAGCGGCCGAUGUCUGAUUAGCUAGUUGGUGGGGUAAAGGCCUACCAAGGCGACGAUCAGUAGCUGGUCUGAGAGGCCGACCAGCCACACUGGGACUGAGACACGGCCCAGACUCCUACGGGAGGCAGCAGUGGGGAAUUUUGGAAAAUGGGCGAAAGCCUGAUCCAGCAAUGCCGCGUGUGUGAAGAAGGCCUUCGGGUUGUAAGCACUUUUGUCCGGAAAGAAAUGGCUCUGGUUAAUGCCUGGGGUCGAUGACGGUACCGGAAGAAUAAGGACCGGCUAACUACGUGCCAGCCGCCGCCGUAA